UAGCUCAGUCGGUAGAGCAAAGGACUGAAAAUCCUUGUGUCGGUGGUUCGAUUCCACCUUA
Molecule: transfer RNA, 61 nt
Filed under: chicken gut metagenome
Rfam family: tRNA
About the family: Transfer RNA (tRNA) molecules are approximately 80 nucleotides in length. Their secondary structure includes four short double-helical elements and three loops (D, anti-codon, and T loops). Further hydrogen bonds mediate the characteristic L-shaped molecular structure. tRNAs have two regions of fundamental functional importance: the anti-codon, which is responsible for specific mRNA codon recognition, and the 3' end, to which the tRNAs corresponding amino acid is attached (by aminoacyl-tRNA synthetases). tRNAs cope with the degeneracy of the genetic code in two manners: having more than one tRNA (with a specific anti-codon) for a particular amino acid; and 'wobble' base-pairing, i.e. permitting non-standard base-pairing at the 3rd anti-codon position.
Source: RNAcentral